RNAcentral lists this ribosomal RNA (1373 nucleotides) under uncultured bacterium. RNAcentral's name for it is "bacterial SSU rRNA". It matches the Rfam family "Bacterial small subunit ribosomal RNA", at positions 28 to 1381 of the family's 1533-position model. The record is from RNAcentral.
GAUGAACGCUGGCGGCGUGCCUAAUACAUGCAAGUCGAGCGAACGGACGAGAAGCUUGCUUCUCUGAUGUUAGCGGCGGACGGGUGAGUAACACGUGGAUAACCUACCUAUAAGACUGGGAUAACUUCGGGAAACCGGAGCUAAUACCGGAUAAUAUUUUGAACCGCAUGGUUCAAAAGUGAAAGACGGUCUUGCUGUCACUUAUAGAUGGAUCCGCGCUGCAUUAGCUAGUUGGUAAGGUAACGGCUUACCAAGGCAACGAUGCAUAGCCGACCUGAGAGGGUGAUCGGCCACACUGGAACUGAGACACGGUCCAGACUCCUACGGGAGGCAGCAGUAGGGAAUCUUCCGCAAUGGGCGAAAGCCUGACGGAGCAACGCCGCGUGAGUGAUGAAGGUCUUCGGAUCGUAAAACUCUGUUAUUAGGGAAGAACAUAUGUGUAAGUAACUGUGCACAUCUUGACGGUACCUAAUCAGAAAGCCACGGCUAACUACGUGCCAGCAGCCGCGGUAAUACGUAGGUGGCAAGCGUUAUCCGGAAUUAUUGGGCGUAAAGCGCGCGUAGGCGGUUUUUUAAGUCUGAUGUGAAAGCCCACGGCUCAACCGUGGAGGGUCAUUGGAAACUGGAAAACUUGAGUGCAGAAGAGGAAAGUGGAAUUCCAUGUGUAGCGGUGAAAUGCGCAGAGAUAUGGAGGAACACCAGUGGCGAAGGCGACUUUCUGGUCUGUAACUGACGCUGAUGUGCGAAAGCGUGGGGAUCAAACGAGGAUUAGAUACCCUGGUAGUCCACGCCGUAAACGAUGAGUGCUAAGUGUUAGGGGGUUUCCGCCCCUUAGUGCUGCAGCUAACGCAUUAAGCACUCCGCCUGGGGAGUACGACCGCGAGGCUGAAACUCAAAGGAAUUGACGGGGACCCGCACAAGCGGUGGAGCAUGUGGUUUAAUUCGAAGCAACGCGAAGAACCUUACCAAAUCUUGACAUCCUUUGACAACUCUAGAGAUAGAGCCUUCCCCUUCGGGGGACAAAGUGACAGGUGGUGCAUGGUUGUCGUCAGCUCGUGUCGUGAGAUGUUGGGUUAAGUCCCGCAACGAGCGCAACCCUUAAGCUUAGUUGCCAUCAUUAAGUUGGGCACUCUAAGUUGACUGCCGGUGACAAACCGGAGGAAGGUGGGGAUGACGUCAAAUCAUCAUGCCCCUUAUGAUUUGGGCUACACACGUGCUACAAUGGACAAUACAAAGGGCAGCGAAACCGCGAGGUCAAGCAAAUCCCAUAAAGUUGUUCUCAGUUCGGAUUGUAGUCUGCAACUCGACUACAUGAAGCUGGAAUCGCUAGUAAUCGUAGAUCAGCAUGCUACGGUGAAUACGUUCCCGGGUCU